This 521-nucleotide ribosomal RNA is filed under the name uncultured bacterium. RNAcentral describes it as "partial 16S ribosomal RNA". It matches the Rfam family "Bacterial small subunit ribosomal RNA", at positions 355 to 871 of the family's 1533-position model. The record is from RNAcentral.
UGGGGAAUAUUGGACAAUGGGCGCAAGCCUGAUCCAGCCAUGCCGCGUGAGUGAUGAAGGCCUUCGGGUUGUAAAGCACUUUUGUCCGGAAAGAAAUCCUUGGCUCUAAUACAGUCGGGGGAUGACGGUACCGGAAGAAUAAGCACCGGCUAACUACGUGCCAGCAGCCGCGGUAAUACGUAGGGUGCAAGCGUUAAUCGGAAUUACUGGGCGUAAAGCGUGCGCAGGCGGUUUGCUAAGACCGAUGUGAAAUCCCCGGGCUCAACCUGGGAACUGCAUUGGUGACUGGCAGGCUAGAGUAUGGCAGAGGGGGGUAGAAUUCCACGUGUAGCAGGUGAAAUGCGUAGAGAUGUGGAGGAAUACCGAUGCGAAGCAGCCCCUGGGCCAAUACUGACGCUCAUGCACGAAAGCGUGGGGAGCAAACAGGAUUAGAUACCCUGGUAGUCCACGCCCUAAACGAUGUCAACUAGUUGUUGGGGAUUCAUUUCCUUAGUAACGUAGCUAACGCGUGAAGUUGACCG